GUGGGGAAUAUUGGACAAUGGGCGAAAGCCUGAUCCAGCCAUGCCGCGUGUGUGAAGAAGGUCUUCGGAUUGUAAAGCACUUUAAGUUGGGAGGAAGGGCAGUAAGUUAAUACCUUGCUGUUUUGACGUUACCGACAGAAUAAGCACCGGCUAACUUCGUGCCAGCAGCCGCGGUAAUACGAAGGGUGCAAGCGUUAAUCGGAAUUACUGGGCGUAAAGCGCGCGUAGGUGGUUUUGUAAGUUGGAGGUGAAAUCCCCGGGCUCAAACUGGGAACUGCUUUAAAAACUGCUGAGCUAGAGUACGGUAGAGGGUGGUGGAAUUUCCUGUGUAGCGGUGAAAUGCGUAGAUAUAGGAAGGAACACCAGUGGCGAAGGCGACCACCUGGACUGAUACUGACACUGAGGUGCGAAAGCGUGGGGAGCAAACAGGAUUAGAAACCCGGGUAGUCC
This 450-nucleotide ribosomal RNA is filed under the name uncultured bacterium. RNAcentral describes it as "partial 16S ribosomal RNA". It matches the Rfam family "Bacterial small subunit ribosomal RNA", at positions 354 to 796 of the family's 1533-position model. The record is from RNAcentral.